AUGAGGAUUUUUAUUAAAAUUAGUACCAUAUACAAAUGAAACCUUUUUAUUUAAAUUAGGAACUUUUUGAGUUGAUUUUAUAUUUUUCAGAAAAACGUUACCUAUAACUUAAAAUAAUAUUAGUAUUAGUUGUCGUGUCAUCACCCUUCUGACAUUUUAUACGAGAAAAGUUAAAAGAAUAUUUUGAAGAAAGGGUUAAAAUAGACAAGGUUAAACUAUCCAGUGGUUGACAACCCUUCCAGUCAACGACGUUUUGUCACAAAAUAAUAGGCUAAGCAAACACCAACUGAAGUAAAGUGCCGAAACAGCGUCUGAGAUGAUUGCCUUUCUUUUCUUUUUAGAUGAAAGAAGUUAAGCUACUUUAAACAUAAAAAUGAACACAUACGAUGGUUUGCACUAAAAAAGGUUUUGGGGCCAUCUAUAAAGGAUCUCAUGCCAAUAGAGGGCGAAAGGGUUUUUAGAUAAAAACCACUAAAAAGGAGAAGGGAGAGGAAAGGAGGUUGAAAGAAAAGCACGUCUCUUUAAAGAUUUUUUAACAUCUAUAUUUUUAAUAUUUUUGUUAACAUUGAAUCAUAUAUGUGUUACUUUAUAGAAACAUAUGUAAACAUGUAUUUUAUUGGUUUAUUGUUAAAGAA
Molecule: non-coding RNA, 635 nt
Organism: Hydra vulgaris (swiftwater hydra)
Lineage: Eukaryota; Metazoa; Cnidaria; Hydrozoa; Anthoathecata; Hydridae
Source: RefSeq, a predicted model, not a curated record